AUUGAACGCUGGCGGCAGGCUUAACACAUGCAAGUCGAGCGAGCGGCGGACGGGUGAGUAAUGUCUGGGAAACUGCCUGAUGGAGGGGGAUAACUACUGGAAACGGUAGCUAAUACCGCAUACCAUCAGAUGUGCCCAGAGGGGAUUAGCUAGUAGGUGGGGUAAUGGCUCACCUAGGCGACGAUCCCUAGCUGGUGUGAGAGGAUUACAAGCAAAACUGGAACUGAGACAAGGUCCAGACGACUACGGGAGGCAGCAGUGGGGAAGAUUGCACAAUGGGGGCAAGCCUGAUGCAGCCAUGCAGCGUGUGUGAAGAAGGCAUUAGGGUUGUAAAGCACUUUAAGCGAGGAGGCGUUACUCGCAGAAGAAGCACCGGCUAACUCCGUGCCAGCAGACGCGGUAAUAC
This 406-nucleotide ribosomal RNA is filed under the name uncultured bacterium. RNAcentral's name for it is "partial 16S ribosomal RNA". It matches the Rfam family "Bacterial small subunit ribosomal RNA", at positions 29 to 526 of the family's 1533-position model. The record is from RNAcentral.